This 253-nucleotide ribosomal RNA is filed under the name uncultured bacterium. RNAcentral's name for it is "partial 16S ribosomal RNA". It matches the Rfam family "Bacterial small subunit ribosomal RNA", at positions 524 to 776 of the family's 1533-position model. The record is from RNAcentral.
UACGGAGGGUGCGAGCGUUGUCCGGAAUCACUGGGCGUAAAGGGCGCGUAGGCGGCCUGAUAAGUAGGGGGUGAAAUCCUGCGGCUUAACCGCAGGGCUGCCUUCUAGACUGUCAGGCUAGAGCACAGUAGAGGUAGGUGGAAUUCCCGGUGUAGCGGUGGAAUGCGUAGAGAUCGGGAGGAACACCGGUGGCGAAGGCGGCUUCCUGGACUGUCCCUGACGCUGAGGCGCGAAAGCGUGGGUAGCAAACAGG